This is a long non-coding RNA of Podarcis raffonei (Aeolian wall lizard), 1566 nucleotides long. RefSeq lists it as uncharacterized. The transcript has 4 exons. NCBI's taxonomy places the organism in Eukaryota, Metazoa, Chordata, Lepidosauria, Squamata, Lacertidae. The record is from RefSeq and is a predicted model, not a curated record.
AGCAACCCCAAGAAGCAAAGCAGUGGAUGCCUGAAGCAUAAAGGACAAUGAUGAGCCCUGCUGAAUGCUUUCCCCUCAGAAACAGCCACAGCCACAGAUAGGGACCAAUAAAGCUUGAGAUGAGAAGGUGACUGCAGUGAAAGAGAAUGGUCUGAAGAUCCCUGCGCAAACUGAGAAGUGGACAAACAAGGAGGGGAAGAAACUUGUCAAUUUCCUCGCAGCAAGUUAUUUGUUUCCCACCAAAACUAUUGAUUGCAGGUUGUGGUCUGAGUGGCUCUCAGUGUCGUAUUGUUGGAAGAACCCUGGGGAAGGAAUGACAGAUGGAUCCACCAUGUCCAUAGGAACAAUUAUGGAACAGACCUGCUGCCGUCUCUCCAUUUUUCCUCCCUUACCUGUCUCCAUAAAAGCUUUGUUUUCUUUAUUUUCUAUUAUUCUCUCUCCUGUCUCCCCACCCCCCAACAUCCUAUUCUCCUUCUUGUCAUAUAUCCUUAGUGAAGUAAUCUUUCCUUAUUAUAGGCCCCGCGGAAUUCAAAUCUCUAUAUGCUCUCUUAAGGCGCAUCACCCAUUGAACUCAAUGGGACUUAUUUCCAAGUAAACAUGCAGCAGAGCAAAUGCUUUCUGCCGUGUCUUCCAUCACAUUUUGAACAACCACAGUUAGCUAUACGUGUUUCAUACGUUCUAGUGCUUUGCUGAUAUAAUAUUCUGUGGAGUGAGUCUCUGAAGCAUGCGACUCUUAAGAUGUGAUUACAUUAGCACACUUUGCCUUUCCCAGAGAUGAUAAAAGUGAAGUACAAUAAAGGGGUUGGAGCCCAAUCAUGCUAAUAAUACAUUCACACAACCACUUCAGCACACCCAGGUUGUCAUUCAGCACACACAGAGGUGGUCAUGUGAUGGUUCAGGAAACCAUACAGAAACUGGAUUUCGGUCAGCGUUAUCAAUCAUGCUUCUUUGGACUUUUGUAUUUUUUCUUCAAAUCAUUUCACAGAACACAUGGGUCAGCCCUCUAAAAUGUACCAAAUUCCUUCCCUAUGAUUCGUAAUGAUGCUGUGUUUGUUUAUAAGAGUCAAUACUUAUAACUUAAACAUUGGGUUUUUGAUGGUGUGCUGAUCUCAUCUUAGUUUAUGCAUGAACAGAUUGGGUAAUGGGCAAGUUCAUUCCACAUGUUCCCUGAAACACAUAUUCUGCUGGUCAUGCACUCUGCAACCAUAUGUGAGUACAUGUGUAUGGCCUCUUCACUUGGCCAUCAGACACAUCUGCAGAGAGUAGGGCUUACCAGUAUCAAUGUGUGAAGUUAGAAUGUACCAACACACACACACACACACACACAGAGAGAGAGAGAGAGACAGACAGACAGACAGACAGACAGACAGACAGAGAGCAUUCACUCUGCUCUGUUUCCACCAAUAUGCACAAUUUUCUCUUAAUAUACACAUUUUUGUAACUUGUUUAGGUUGGAGAACUGCAUUACAAAAUUUGGAGAACUGCAGAUUUUCAAGGACAGCUGUAUUGAGGGGCAUGUAUUGUUUCUCGAAGUUUAAAUAAAGUAGGUUCAUGUUACAAUGUGAA